GGGUUGUGAGGUUAAGCGACUAAGCGUACACGGUGGAUGCCUAGGCAGUCAGAGGCGAUGAAGGACGCGCUAAUCUGCGAAAAGCGUCGGUAAGCUGAUAUGAAGCGAUAUGAGCCGGCGAUGUCCGAAUGGGGAAACCCAGUGCAAUGCGUUGCACUAUCAUUAACUGAAUCCAUAGGUUAAUGAGGCGAACCGGGGGAACUGAAACAUCUCAGUACCCCGAGGAAAAGAAAUCAACCGAGAUUCCCCCAGUAGCGGCGAGCGAACGGGGAGGAGCCCAGAACCUGCAUCAGCCACAGCAUCAGAGGAACGGUCUGGAAAGGCCGGCGAGAGAGGGUGACAGCCCCGUACUCGAAGAUGGCGUGGUUGUGAGUUCGACGAGUAAGGCGGGACACGAGAAAUCCUGUCUGAAGAAGGGGGGACCAUCCUCCAAGGCUAAAUACUCCUGACUGACCGAUAGUGAACCAGUACCGUGAGGGAAAGGCGAAAAGAACCCCGGCGAGGGGAGUGAAAGAGAACCUGAAACCGUGUACGUACAAGCAGUGGGAGCCCCACCACCAAAGCGUUUCGCUUUGCGUGGCGCACAAAAUGCGUAACGACAUCACUGAUGCGCGGUUGGCGGAGCGACAGCGACGCCCAACACAAUCAUCAAGCAGUGGAGCGUUUUGGGGUGGGGUGACUGCGUACCUUUUGUAUAAUGGGUCAGCGACUUAUAUUCUGUAGCAAGGUUAACCGCAUAGGGGAGCCGCAGGGAAACCGAGUCUUAACUGGGCGAAAUGAGUUGCAGGGUAUAGACCCGAAACCCGGUGAGCUAGCCAUGGGCAGGUUGAAGGUUGGGUAACACUAACUGGAGGACCGAACCGACUAAUGUUGAAAAAUUAGCGGAUGACUUGUGGCUGGGGGUGAAAGGCCAAUCAAACCGGGAGAUAGCUGGUUCUCCCCGAAAGCUAUUUAGGUAGCGCCUCGUGAGUUCAUCUUCGGGGGUAGAGCACUGUUUCGGCUAGGGGGCCAUCCCGGCUUACCAACCCGAUGCAAACUGCGAAUACCGAAGAAUGUCAUCACGGGAGACACACGGCGGGUGCUAACGUCCGUCGUGAAGAGGGAAACAACCCAGACCGCCAGCUAAGGUCCCGAAGUCAUGGUUAAGUGGGAAACGAUGUGGGAAGGCCCAGACAGCCAGGAUGUUGGCUUAGAAGCAGCCAUCAUUGAAAGAAAGCGUAAUAGCUCACUGGUCGAGUCGGCCUGCGCGGAAGAUGUAACGGGGCUAAACCAUGCGCCGAAGCUGCGGCAUUCAGAGGACAGAUUUCAGAAGACAGAGGACGGAAUGAUGUCAUAUGGAUUCGAGCAAUUGGACGUGUUUAAGAAAGCUUAUCGAAUUUCGUUAGAAAUUCAUCAGGUGAGUUUGACAUUUCCUCAGUACGAACAAUAUGGAUUAGCGGACCAGGUCGGGCGGGCAAGUAAGGGCAUUUGCGUCCAACCUUGCCGAGGGCUUUGGUAAGCAGCAUUAUUCCAAACCCGAGUUCAGGCGUUUCAUUAGUAUAGCCUUAGGCAGUGCCGAUGAGAUGCGUGUAUGGUUAAGAUAUUGUCUGGAUUUGGGCUAUAUCAAUCGGGUUCAGUGGCAGGAAUGGCGCGAUGGACUAUGAAGAGAUAGCGAAAAUGCUGACUGGACUGGGGCGGCGUCUGUAAGCUGUAUUCUGACGUCUGUUCUCUGAAUGGGUAGGGGAGCGUUCUGUAAGCCGGUGAAGGCGGCGCCGUGAGGCCUGCUGGAGGUAUCAGAAGUGCGAAUGCUGACAUAAGUAACGAUAAAGCGGGUGAAAAACCCGCUCGCCGGAAGACCAAGGGUUCCUGUCCAACGUUAAUCGGGGCAGGGUGAGUCGACCCCUAAGGCGAGGCCGAACGGCGUAGCUGAUGGGAAACAGGUUAAUAUUCCUGUACUGAAUGUGACUGCGAAGGGGGGACGGAGAAGGCUAGGCCAUCCGGGCGACGGUCGUCCCGGUUUAAGCGUGUAGGUGGGAGGAGCAGGCAAAUCCGCUCUUCUUUUAACACUGAGGCGUGAUGACGAGCCGCUACGGCGGUGAAGUGGUUGAUGCCCGGCUUCCAGGAAAAGCCUCUAAGCAUCAGGUGACAUUGAAUCGUACCCCAAACCGACACAGGUGGUCAGGUAGAGAAUACUCAGGCGCUUGAGAGAACUCGGGUGAAGGAACUAGGCAAAAUGGUGCCGUAACUUCGGGAGAAGGCACGCUGGCGUUAGGUGAAGGGGUUUGCCCCCGGAGCCGAAGCCAGUCGCAGAGACCAGCUGGCUGCAACUGUUUAUUAAAAACACAGCACUGUGCCAACACGUAAGUGGACGUAUACGGUGUGACGCCUGCCCGGUGCUGGAAGGUUAAUUGAUGGGGUUAGCCGCAAGGCGACGCUCUUGAUCGAAGCCCCAGUAAACGGCGGCCGUAACUAUAACGGUCCUAAGGUAGCGAAAUUCCUUGUCGGGUAAGUUCCGACCUGCACGAAUGGCGUAAUGAUGGCCAGGCUGUCUCCACCCGAGACUCAGUGAAAUUGAACUCGCUGUGAAGAUGCAGUGUUCCCGCGGCAAGACGGAAAGACCCCGUGAACCUUUACUAUAGCUUGACACUGAACAUGGAGCCUUGAUGUGUAGGAUAGGUGGGAGGCUUGGAAGUGCGGACGCCAGUCUGCAUGGAGCCAUCCUUGAAAUACCACCCUUGAAUGCUCGAUGUUCUCACUUAGGCCCGUCAUCCGGGCUGAGGACAGUGUCUGGCGGGUAGUUUGACUGGGGCGGUCUCCUCCCAAAGCGUAACGGAGGAGCACGAAGGUUGGCUAAUCACGGUCGGACAUCGUGAGGUUAGUGCAAAGGCAUAAGCCAGCUUAACUGCGAGAGUGACGGCUCGAGCAGGUACGAAAGUAGGUCUUAGUGAUCCGGUGGUUCUGAAUGGAAGGGCCAUCGCUCAACGGAUAAAAGGUACUCCGGGGAUAACAGGCUGAUACCGCCCAAGAGUUCAUAUCGACGGCGGUGUUUGGCACCUCGAUGUCGGCUCAUCACAUCCUGGGGCUGAAGUAGGUCCCAAGGGUAUGGCUGUUCGCCAUUUAAAGUGGUACGCGAGCUGGGUUUAGAACGUCGUGAGACAGUUCGGUCCCUAUCUGCCGUGGGCGCAGGAAGAUUGAAAGGGGCUGCUCCUAGUACGAGAGGACCGGAGUGGACGCACCGCUGGUGUACGGGUUGUCAUGCCAAUGGCAUAGCCCGGUAGCUAAGUGCGGGAGAGAUAACCGCUGAAAGCAUCUAAGCGGGAAACUUGCCUUGAGAUGAGUCUUCCCUUGACUUGAGGUCACGGAAGGAACGUUUAAGACGAAGACGUGGAUAGGCUGGGUGUGUAAGUGCAGCGAUGCAUUGAGCUGACCAGUACUAAUGAACCGAGAGGCUUAACCUUACAACGCCGAAGGUGUUU
Molecule: ribosomal RNA, 3455 nt
Filed under: Photorhabdus luminescens subsp. luminescens
Lineage: Bacteria; Pseudomonadati; Pseudomonadota; Gammaproteobacteria; Enterobacterales; Morganellaceae
Description: bacterial LSU rRNA
Rfam family: Bacterial large subunit ribosomal RNA
Source: RNAcentral